GCUCCUGUAGCUCAGCUGGAUAGAGCGACUGCCUUCUAAGCAGUAGGUCGCGUGUUCGAAUCACGCCAGGGGCA
This 74-nucleotide transfer RNA is filed under the name candidate division CPR3 bacterium GWE2_35_7. Its description in RNAcentral is "tRNA-Arg". It matches the Rfam family "tRNA". From Rfam's summary of the family: Transfer RNA (tRNA) molecules are approximately 80 nucleotides in length. RNAcentral also lists the same sequence under 4 other names. The record is from RNAcentral. Lineage: Bacteria; candidate division CPR3.